Molecule: long non-coding RNA, 889 nt
Organism: Ananas comosus (pineapple)
Lineage: Eukaryota; Viridiplantae; Streptophyta; Magnoliopsida; Poales; Bromeliaceae
Exons: 4
Source: RefSeq, a predicted model, not a curated record
ACCCAAACAGCCUGAUUGGCUCACACGAACGCAUCUCCCCCGCUAACCCUAUUCCGCUCGCGCCUCCUCCCACGCGGAGCUCAACCUCGAUCGAGCUCUCCCCCUCUCCUUCACCUCUCCGAUCUCUCCUCCUAAAUCGCCGUCGACCUCGCGCGCACCUCCACGCGCUCUUCAGCCUCGCUGCGGCGGGGACGCGGGGCCCACCCUCGACGAGCACCUCGCCGUGCUCGCCCCCGCGGGCGGCGCCGGCGCCACCGCGGACGACGUCGCCGCCCUCGCCGGCCACGGCUCGCCGACGCCUCCGCCGCCGGUGUGCCCCGCGCCUCCUUCGAGAACAGGGUGCGGGUCGACGCCUCCCUCUCCCUCAAGGCCGCGUUCGCGGAGAUCGCCGUCUCCGCUUACAAGGCGGAGGUCCGAUCCGUCGAUUUCCGAACCAAGCUUGCGAAGAAGCUUCAUCCUGAUACAAACAAAGGUGACGCUGAUGCUGAAAGGAAGUUCCAAGAAGUCCAGCGAGCUUAUGAGACAUUGAAGGAUGAGCAGAAACGUUCUUUCUAUGACCAGGUUGUGCUGAUCAAUAUGAAAAAGCUGCUUCAGGAGGUGGAGCAGGUCCAGGUGGACCAUUUGAAGGUGGAUUUAGCAAUCCUUUCGAGGACUUCUUUGGCGGCGGCGACGGAAUGAAUGAUGUAAGGACUUUCUUAUCUUUCAAUUGUUUCGAACUUUUGAUGCUAUGUUCAAUAAACCCAUUAUAUACACCUAGCAACUGGAAUUUUGGUUUGCUGUAUAUUGAUUUGUCAGUGUUGUUAUAUAUCAGUGAAAAUAUAUGGUUCUAAACGAGUUGAGAGCGUCAAAUACUUUUGAAGAGAUAAAUAUCUGUUUUCCACCAUCCAUU